This 597-nucleotide long non-coding RNA is filed under the name Capsicum annuum. RNAcentral describes it as "long non-coding RNA (CANN_LNC001232)". The record is from RNAcentral. Lineage: Eukaryota; Viridiplantae; Streptophyta; Magnoliopsida; Solanales; Solanaceae.
GCCUUUAUAUCUCAUUUCAACUCUUUAUUUGAAAAAUAGUAAAAGGAGGCCCCGGGGGUUAAUUUAGUAAAAACAAUCUCUUUUCAAAAGCUUGAUGCCACCAUUGAGUUUGAAACAUCAAAAUUAGCCCAGUAACAUUAUUUGUUUAUUUUCUUGGGGUCCCGAAUAAACUUCGAUAAUCCAUUCAUAAGAUUUCAACCCUUGCAUUUUACUGAUAUUGUAGUUGUUGGUGCAUGACCCUUUCUCUUCACGUUUGUGACCUCCUCUGUCGUGUUUACAAAGCAGUAUUUUUCCUUCAUUCAUAGUUGCGAUAACCAUAUUGUGUUUUCAUAAAGGAAAUUUUCUCUUCCACGCGAUUGCGAUAAGUAACUAGUGGGUUUGGUCCAAUUCUUCAUCGCGUUUGCGAUGUCUCGUCCGCAAUAUCGAUGUUUGUUUCGGGUUGGCAUUUGCAUUCAUGGCCUGAGAAUCUGCAUUUGCAAAGGCCAUUUCUUACCUAGAUAGAAUUUAAUCCCUAUUUCGACCGAAAAUCCCAUUUUCACCAUAUUUCAUCUUUGGAAGCUUGGUUUUGGGCAAUUUCAUACGAGUUUUUGAGAAUUC